AUGUCAAAGUUUGGUUGAAAAUAAAGUUGUUUCUUCACUAUACUUGUCUGCUAUACUCCUAUAGCAGCCAGGGACACUUGGUCUCAUACAU
RNAcentral lists this small nucleolar RNA (91 nucleotides) under Myotis lucifugus (little brown bat). RNAcentral's name for it is "Small nucleolar RNA SNORA63 (ENSMLUG00000019694.1)". The record is from RNAcentral. Lineage: Eukaryota; Metazoa; Chordata; Mammalia; Chiroptera; Vespertilionidae.